Molecule: long non-coding RNA, 1252 nt
Organism: Fundulus heteroclitus (mummichog)
Lineage: Eukaryota; Metazoa; Chordata; Actinopteri; Cyprinodontiformes; Fundulidae
Exons: 3
Source: RefSeq, a predicted model, not a curated record
AACCAAACUUGGAGAAGCAGCAUUUAGUUUGUAUGCAGUUCUUUUGCUAGGGUGGAACAACCAAGAGAGCCUUGGUGGAAAGGUGUCUAUUAUGUUUUGAGUGACCUAAAGAAGAAAACCAGGAAAAAUAUGCACCAUUUGAACUUAUUAUCCCUGAUGGAGGGAUGAUGCCUGACUAGAUAGGACCAGACUUCUAUUUGUAGAGUCAGCUGGGGUUACGUGAGCGCGUCAAAAAUGAUCGGCAUGUGGGACAACUAAUAGAUAAGGCGAUACCCCGGAACUCGAGGUACUGAGGGGUGUGUGGGGUGGAUGGGACAUGAAGGCACGUGAUUGAUUCUUUCCACUUGGACCGAAUGACAGGAUUGGUCAGAGUUAUUACAGGCCUUCAGCUUUCAAAAAGAUUCAUUUUUUAACCUCCUUUUUCUGAAUACAAAAUGUAUUUACUACUGUCAGGAUGGAAGGACCAUUUCACCCAGUAUAACAAAAAGUCUUUCUGAACAGGAUUACCAACUAUAUCUUUCACAAAAGCAAACAAAUAACAAUCCAUAGUGAGUUUUUAUCUGAUGCUAUCGUUUAGCUUCAGUUGUGUCAUAUCAUCAGAUCUGUGUGCAGGUCAGUUUGUGUAUGUGGGCUUCUCCUAGCUCUUCCGUGCAGGGUGUGGUUGGCAGGAGGAGUUUAGAUAGGAGCAGAUCCCUUGAGGAAGAUGCCAGAUUGUUUUUGUUUACAAUGUUGUUGAUCAAGCCUACCCUUCUUUGUAUUGCUCUUGUUCUCAGUAAUCCUUAACUUAUCCAACUUUGUCUUCCCCUUUUGCAGGAACAUCCAUGAUCAAAUUCCUGCAUUCCUGUGCUCUGCUUCCUAGUUCCUUUUGGUUUCCGGAGAAAAAAUCUCAAGUUCCCUUCCGUAAAACUCCUCAUUGAUCCUCUGGCAGUCCUCCUAAUAUCAGUCACUUGCCUCCUGCUCAACUGCCUUUCCAUGUACUCAGUGCCAAUUGUGGAAGAAGGGAGAUAAAGAGACAACAUUGCCACACCCUGCCAAACUUAGAUUCAGUGGACAUGUUCACCCCUUCCUGGACUUUUCUCAUGUCAAUAUGCAAUGAAUAUUAUCAACCUGUUAUCAAAUCUUUAUUUUCCAUUCCAGUAUUCCUACAAUACAAUUUACUUCUCCUCUUUAGUGUCAAACCAUGAUCCUGCUGAAAAGCCAGAAAACCUUUUUUUUCCUCACAUGUAAUUGUCAAUAAACUUUGCAUACUAUU